GAGUUUGAUCAUGGCUCAGAUUGAACGCUGGCGGCAGGCCUAACACAUGCAAGUCGAACGGUAACAGGAAACAGCUUGCUGUUUCGCUGACGAGUGGCGGACGGGGGAGUAAUGUCUGGGAAACUGCCUGAUGGAGGGGGAUAACUACUGGAAACGGUAGCUAAUACCGCAUAACGUCGCAAGACCAAAGAGGGGGACCCUCGGGCCUCUUGCCAUCGGAUGUGCCCAGAUGGGAUUAGCUUGUUGGUGGGGUAACGGCUCACCAAGGCGACGAUCCCUAGCUAGUCUGAGAGGAUGACCAGCCACACUGGAACUGAGACACGGUCCAGACUCCUACGGGAGGCAGCAGUGGGGAAUAUUGCACAAUGGGCGCAAGCCUGAUGCAGCCAUGCCGCGUGUAUGAAGAAGGCCUUCGGGUUGUAAAGUACUUUCAGCGGGGAGGAAGGGAGUAAAGUUAAUACCUUUGCUCAUUGACGUUACCCGCAGAAGAAGCACCGGCUAACUCCGUGCCAGCAGCCGCGGUAAUACGGAGGGUGCAAGCGUUAAUCGGAAUUACUGGGCGUAAAGCGCACGCAGGCGGUUUGUUAAGUCAGAUGUGAAAUCCCCGGGCUCAACCUGGGAACUGCAUCUGAUACUGGCAAGCUUGAGUCUCGUAGAGGGGGGUAGAAUUCCAGGUGUAGCGGUGAAAUGCGUAGAGAUCUGGAGGAAUACCGGUGGCGAAGGCGGCCCCCUGGACGAAGACUGACGCUCAGGUGCGAAAGCGUGGGGAGCAAACAGGAUUAGAUACCCUGGUAGUCCACGCCGUAAACGAUGUCGACUUGGAGGUUGUGCCCUUGAGGCGUGGCUUCCGGAGCUAACGCGUUAAGUCGACCGCCUGGGGAGUACGGCCGCAAGGUUAAAACUCAAAUGAAUUGACGGGGGCCCGCACAAGCGGUGGAGCAUGUGGUUUAAUUCGAUGCAACGCGAAGAACCUUACCUGGUCUUGACAUCCACGGAAGUUUUCAGAGAUGAGAAUGUGCCUUCGGGAACCGUGAGACAGGUGCUGCAUGGCUGUCGUCAGCUCGUGUUGUGAAAUGUUGGGUUAAGUCCCGCAACGAGCGCAACCCUUAUCCUUUGUUGCCAGCGGUCCGGCCGGGAACUCAAAGGAGACUGCCAGUGAUAAACUGGAGGAAGGUGGGGAUGACGUCAAGUCAUCAUGGCCCUUACGACCAGGGCUACACACGUGCUACAAUGGCGCAUACAAAGAGAAGCGACCUCACGAGAGCAAGCGGACCUCAUAAAGUGCGUCGUAGUCCGGAUUGGAGUCUGCAACUCGACUCCAUGAAGUCGGAAUCGCUAGUAAUCGUGGAUCAGAAUGCCACGGUGAAUACGU
Molecule: ribosomal RNA, 1372 nt
Filed under: unidentified marine bacterioplankton
Lineage: Bacteria
Description: bacterial SSU rRNA
Rfam family: Bacterial small subunit ribosomal RNA
Source: RNAcentral